GGGAGUUAGAGAGGGGGCGUUUCCCCCUACCCCUCCAUCUCCCCCUCGCUCUCUCUCCCCCUAUCUCUCUUCAGGGUGAUUUCCAGAUAUUGGCAAUACACCGUCUUCGACUUGAGUUGCACAGAGCAGGAAUUGACAAGACUUCCAACUAUGGUGGGGAACCUGGGCAGUUUUCAGCAGCUUAUAAAAUCCCCACCCUUCCCUCCAGCUCUCUCCUGCUGCACAGCGUCGAACACAGAACGAGGGGGAUGGGAGGCGAGAGCCGUAGAGAGAGGAGAGAUGGUUGGAGGGGAGUGAGGUGGCGUGACCGUUUGCUCCCGUCUCGACUACGGGUAUUCUUGGGUUGAUAAUACAGAUGUCGAUGUUAUUGCUUGAGAAUACGCGUAGCUGAGUGGAAGCCAUCAUCGGCAGCAGCAAAUGUUCCUCCUGAUGUGAAGAUUGGCUGAGCUGAUGUUAAUCUUCUCCUAGAGUCCUCCUUGUGGUCCUCAAGCUCGCCCCCAUGCCUCUACCCAGCAUCCUCUCUGCCUCUGCAGGAAUGGGCGAAUGUGAUGCUGGGGCUCAUCCAUGUAAAAGGCCCUUUGACAGGAACUGUGUCUGUGUGCUAAACCCUGGAAAUUCCCAGCCAAGAGGAUUCUCCACGCCACUCCCCAGAGACUCCACUUACAUCAGUGCCACUGUCUCUCUGUCACUGGGCAUGUGUGUGCAUAUAUGUGUGCUUGCAUUAGUCCGUGCAUGUGUGCGAGAGCAAUUUUUCUGUUUCUUCUUCCACAUAGCAAUUAAAGAUCCAAUUGAUUUCCCUGCCUA
Long non-coding RNA from Melanotaenia boesemani (Boeseman's rainbowfish), 804 nucleotides. RefSeq lists it as uncharacterized. The record is from RefSeq and is a predicted model, not a curated record. NCBI's taxonomy places the organism in Eukaryota, Metazoa, Chordata, Actinopteri, Atheriniformes, Melanotaeniidae. The transcript is spliced from 3 exons.